Long non-coding RNA from Dermochelys coriacea (leatherback sea turtle), 241 nucleotides. RefSeq lists it as uncharacterized. Lineage: Eukaryota; Metazoa; Chordata; Testudines; Dermochelyidae. The record is from RefSeq and is a predicted model, not a curated record. The transcript has 4 exons.
CUGGAGUUUAGACGUGUGCCCUUCCUAUCUCCCCGAGUGCCUGGCGCCUCUACUGGGACGGGAUCUGCUUUGUCGCCUAGGCGCCACCUUGCAGUUUACUCAAGACGAAAUAACCCUUACCCUGCCCCCCGAGAAUGCAUGGAUUAUGACCCUUACAAUUGAGCCCUCAGCUACGCAAGCCCCAGAAUAGAGCCUGUGGGAAGACCGGGUGUACCCUCUAGUGUGGGCAGCGGGGGUCGCA